This 693-nucleotide long non-coding RNA is filed under the name Oryza sativa Indica Group (long-grained rice). Its description in RNAcentral is "lncRNA OsKYG_06g0017180". The record is from RNAcentral. Lineage: Eukaryota; Viridiplantae; Streptophyta; Magnoliopsida; Poales; Poaceae.
AUGAUAGCUCCGCUUGACCGGGCGUGCCUAGGAGAAGGGCGCAACUGCCAUGUCCACCUCUUGCUUGGGCUCCAAGGCAGCGCCGGCGCUGCCGCUGUAGUACAAGGCGCUCUGCGCCAGUGCGCCGCUGACGAACAAUGCGGCGGCUUCGGUGUGGCCGUCGAGGAGAGGAUGGUCGGCGAGGAGGAGUUGGCUAGGGAUACCUACUCCCUGAUGCACGAGUCCCAGCUUGUGUUGACCUCCGCUGCCUUCCGCGGCCAGUGCUCCCCCGCCACGGCGUACUGCUGCUGCAGCACCAUCGCCGCCACCAAGUCUACCUUGCUGGCUUGCCCGAACGCGAAGGCGGUGAGGAAGGUCGGUGGCUGUGACAGCCCUAUCCCCAUCACGCCCCCGUCCGCCUUCAUGGCAUCGAUCAAGUUCCGCAAUGACAAAUGCCCACUGAUGCUGGCCAAGAUGCCAAUCGGGGUACUCAGUUUGCCUUUUCAGUCCAUCCUCUUCGCCGGUGGCAACCCCCAUGAGCUUCAAUUCAACCUCUCCACCUCCUCUAAGCCGCAGCCCGGUGACUUCUCAUCCUUUGCUCCUUACUACCCCUGCCCCUGCCCCUGCCCCUGCCUUCGUAAGGUUAGCGAGGUCUCAGACAGCGACGACCAUGAGCACGAGCUGAACAACAAGGCAUUCUCGUUUAGCAGAAAA